Molecule: long non-coding RNA, 2077 nt
Organism: Ictalurus punctatus (channel catfish)
Lineage: Eukaryota; Metazoa; Chordata; Actinopteri; Siluriformes; Ictaluridae
Source: Ensembl
AUUCUUCCUCCCUCCUCUUACCCCCAUCCCCCCUGACCCCCCCCCCCCCCCCCCCACCCCCCACCUUCCUUCUGUCUCUGUCAUGCACCGAGGACUGGAGUGGGUAGAAGAAAAACAUCAAAUAAAAGUAAUCCCUUUGGGAGCUGAACCGCAGGUAUUCUUCGCCAUAUUUAACCUGCCAUUUAAUUAUUUAUUUAUUUUUGUGCUAAUAAAAGCGGCCACGUUCAAACGAGACCUGCGUCCAGGCGCAUUAAGGAAAUCUGGCUCGUAGAAACGCGUCUGUUCAGAUCGCAGGCCGUCUUAAUGGGAUCUCAUGAAGUGUUGAGAAGAAGCGAGGAAGGGUGCUACGCGAGAGCGUAGUCCGGAACGGUUCCAAAUACACGGCUAGAGUAAAGAGGACGGGGACGUGGACUCUUUACUCUUUACUCAGUCUAGCCGUGUGUUUCGAAGACGGCCGUUCCAGGUGAGACGAAGUUGUAAGCGGACGUCAGAAGUCUGACUUAACGAGCACAGUUGGACGGAAGGCUCGUCGGCGUUUGAACCAUGAAGUUCACGGCGCCUCCGAGCGCCGGCGCGCCGUCGUCCUGGUUCAUCUAGUUCAUCGACGUCUGGUUUCAUUUCAGUGGAAACACGAUUCAGCCCCGUGUCAUUCCCAAACGCGGGACGUGCAGCGACCUCUCCGUGUGUGUCUGCGUCCCGGAUCGCUGCAGAAACUCCGACGUGCGCCUGAUAUCUGGGCCACAAACAAACAAAUAAAUAAAUAAAUAAAGCGAAACAUUAAUGAAUGAAUGCUGGAUUCAGUUCACAAAGGAACAGGUUUUUCCACAGGAUUUAUUCGCGUUAAUAUUUAAUAAGGCGUUUAUUGUUUAGCACCGGCUCCGUGUUCCGUGUGCUUGGUUGCGUUUUCGUGAUUUCCUCACACACUUGCAAGAGGUUUAUUUACAUUUCUUACCAACGUAUUUCAUGACCAACAAAUGAACGACUUUUGUGAGGGCUUUGGAGAAUUCCAGCCCCGCCCCCUUUCCUCACACCGAAAAAAUAUCAUUUGCACUCUUGAUUGAUUGAUUGAUACAAACAAACUAAUAAGUGAGUAAACAUCCAUAAACCAGUCAUAAUAAUCCCGGUGAAGGAGGCGUGGCCUGUGUGCUUUCAGUCCCAGUGGAGGAGGUGUGGCCUCUGCGUUUCAGUCCCAGUGGCGGAGGUGUGGGCCUUUGCGCUUCAGUCCCAGUGGCGGAGGUGUGGCCUUUGCACUUCAGGUACAGUAGCGGAGGUGUGGCCUCUGCGCUUCGGUCCCAGUGGCAUAGGUGUGGCCUCUGCGCUUCAGGUACAGUGGCGGAGGUGUGGCCUCUGCGCUUCAGUCCCAGUGAAGGAGGUGUGGCCUCUGCGCUUCAGUCCCAGUGAAGGAGCUUCAGUCCCAGUGAAGGAGGUGUGGCCUCUGCGCUUCAGUCCCAGUGAAGGAGGUGUGGCCUCUGCGCUUCGGUCCCAGUAGCGGAGGUGUGGCCUCUGCGCUUCAGUCCCAGUGAAGGAGGUGUGGCCUCUGCACUUCAGUCCCAGUGAAGGAGGUGUGGCCUCUGCGCUUCAGUCCCAGUGACGGAGGUGUGGCCUCCAGCACUGAAUUAUUUUGUAUUACAUCGAGCCAGCGGUGUUUCAUAUUGAAUCAUUGGCUCUGUAAACGUAUCUUUCCUGCUUCCACGAUCACGCAUCAAGAGGCACGUUGUAAGAACUCUGAUUAAGAGCGCGUACGAUCUGGAGUCGUAAAUGAAACCAUAAACAAAACCCCCUCAUCAUCGUCCACGCACUUCUUCCCAAGUAGUGCUCCCCAUCGGGCAAUUCCUGUAAGGUCAGGUAUGAAACGAGCAGCGAGUUAGAUGGACGUGCAACGUUCUCUCAACGUUCUCUCAACGUUCUCUCAACGUUCUCUCAACGUUCUCGCUUCAGGUGUCGUGACCGGUGCGCACAUUUCAAAUGCACGUUCAAACCUGACUGCCGGAUUCGUGUUCGUGUCUGGAUGCGGUUGUGCACUGUAACUCUAAAGGAAGAGUUUAAAUAAUCAGAGGAUGCCCCCCCCACCCCCCGG